GCCCAAGAUAGUGGAAUGGCUAUUGCUGUGUGUUAUAAGAUAAGGGUAGGAGGGUCCUCAUGAAUUCCGUUGUUUUAAUACUAUAGAAAACAAAACUGUUAUAAUUAAGUCAAAGGCCUUAUAAGAAACACCACUUAAUAUUUCUUUGAUAAUAAGCAUAUAUGCUAAGUAUCCUAGUUGGCCAAGACAAUUAUUUUACUUUAACUUUUGAACUGUUGUUCAACUUUCAUUUGUUUAUUCAACAUCACCACAAACUGGUUUAUAAUUAUUAUAGCUUCAAGUUGGUGUUUUGUUUAAUUUCAUUCUACUUGCUAAAAUAUCUAUAUAUNGAUUUGAAAUCUGUAUCGAAACUUGCACAUGGUUUACCAGAAAGAUUCAAGAGCAAUCCUUCGUUCCUGCUGUUCUCGUUAGUGUACAUGCAGAGCAUUGGUUUAGGAUAGGUGUAUAAUUAACGUUAUAUCAAAUCCUAGUAANUAAGCGAGGCAUGUUUAGUUUUAAACAGGAAUUCAAGUUAAAAAACUUCAACUUGAACCACAGACCAGUACAAGACUUUGUUACCUCUCCGUGGUUUUCAGCUCCAGUGCUGUUGGCAUUUAGANCAUUUUUCGCUCUGUACAANCUCACAUGGGCGAUAGUUCGUAUAGCCGCAUACGAAAGUAUACGUAAAGUAAGAACNCUCUUCCUGUUGACAUAUUGGUCAUACGUAGCUUUGGUUAUCUACUUCCAACUAUCACUGACAACCACAGUGCUUUACUAUGUGAAACAAAGACGGAAAGGACAAUUGGCUCAUGCUUCUGAAGAAGAAGAAGAAGGAGCGAAAUGGUAUUACAAACUCCAGUGGCUUUUCUUCAACAUUGCCNGCGUCAUGGCCAUNGUUGUGACAUUCUCUUAUUGGGCGUUUGUNUUUGAUUUUAAAAGAGANCANGUCGAAAUUAAUGAUGUUAAUGUUCACAUACUGAACACUUUGUUCUUUGUACUAGAUCAUAUUAUUAGCUGUAUGCCAGUACGACUGCUGCACGCGAUAUAUUCAAUNCUNUUUGCAUGUACGUAUGUCAUAGCUACAGUUUUGUAUUGGGUAUUCAUAACAAAAACACCUUUGUAUACCGUUUUAGACUAUAGUUCACACCCUGGUCGGACUGCUGGGUUUUGUGCUGCGACCAUAAUNAUAUUACAGCCAUUGGUUCAGUUGUUUCUUUAUGGGAUAUUUAGGCUGAAGAUAUUUGCUGCAGAAAAAUACNGUCUGACUAGAAAUAGAUUUUACGAUUUAGUUUCUUCGCCAGUAACUAAUUAGUAUUUAAUUUUUUAAUUUUCUUUUUACUUAAAAAAAUGGUUCCAAAAGGUUUUAUAAUGAAAGCGAAGCCCGAAAGGGAGCAUGGGAAAGCAAAUAUUAUGAGUAUUAACAGUGUUUUAGUGUAAACAGAUUGCCUGCACUGAAUAAAACGACCUUCACUACGAGUAAUGCUAUAAUCCAAUCGGUUUCAGUGUCAGUUUCCUUCGAUUAUUAUGACGACCUUUUUGCUACUCGAGAACUUCUUUUUCAAUUAAGUGUAUAUGUAUCAUUUUAAUUUGACUUUCGUUUUGCAUGUUUUUUUGUCGUCCAUUACUUAUUAGCCACUAUAGUUCAUCGUUUACUAUUUUCUAAAUAACAAAUUCAAUUAUUCGAAUAAAUAAAUAAAUUGGAAAAAAAUGAAAAUUCAUGUUUUAGUUGGCCCAGUAGAAACUGUCAAGUUGAAACCUUGCCAUAAAACGCAAGCUCAACAAGCCCAACAAACCAUGCAUUACUGGGUCAUGAUACCGUUACCGACAGUUGAUGUCAUGUUCAUCCCCAGGGCAUGUUGGUGGUUCAUUGACAAGGGGUCAAAAUCUUAUUAGAAUUGAUUGUAUUANCGUUAUCAGCUCACACCACCCACUAGCUUUGUAGUCGCCGGUAAUGUAUGUAUUUUUAAUGUCAAGGAAUAGGUGAUAAAAAUAAAUUGCCAUCGCGCCUAGAUCUAGCCCGGGUUCCUCCUCCAUCCCUUAAACAGGAGUCUUUAGACUACUCUAUCAUUGUGUACUUCUUUCGCGUGAUGUUAACAAUGGAACCCUUUAAACAAGAAUUUCAGCUAAAGAACUUCAAGUUCGACUAUACUCCUGUUANUCACUUCUUUGAAUCUCCGUGGUUACCAGUCCCCGCGCUGUUGGCCAUUAGAGCAUUGUUCGCC
This 2201-nucleotide unclassified non-coding RNA is filed under the name Exaiptasia diaphana. Its description in RNAcentral is "protein rolling stone, transcript variant X1". Lineage: Eukaryota; Metazoa; Cnidaria; Anthozoa; Actiniaria; Aiptasiidae. The record is from RNAcentral.